This 407-nucleotide ribosomal RNA is filed under the name uncultured microorganism. RNAcentral describes it as "bacterial SSU rRNA". It matches the Rfam family "Bacterial small subunit ribosomal RNA", at positions 9 to 412 of the family's 1533-position model. The record is from RNAcentral.
GAGUUUGAUCAUGGCUCAGAUUGAACGCUGGCGGCAUGCCUUACACAUGCAAGUCGAACGGCAGCAUGAUCUAGCUUGCUAGAUUGAUGGCGAGUGGCGAACGGGUGAGUAAUACAUCGGAACGUGCCCUGUAGUGGGGGAUAACUAGUCGAAAGAUUAGCUAAUACCGCAUACGACCUGAGGGUGAAAGUGGGGGACCGCAAGGCCUCAUGCUAUAGGAGCGGCCGAUGUCUGAUUAGCUAGUUGGUGGGGUAAAGGCCCACCAAGGCGACGAUCAGUAGCUGGUCUGAGAGGACGAUCAGCCACACUGGGACUGAGACACGGGCCCAGACUCCUACGGGAGGCAGCAGUGGGGAAUUUUGGCAAUGGGCGAAAGCCUGAUCCAGCAAUGCCGCGUGUGUGAGGAA